Molecule: ribosomal RNA, 480 nt
Filed under: uncultured bacterium
Lineage: Bacteria
Description: partial 16S ribosomal RNA
Rfam family: Bacterial small subunit ribosomal RNA
Source: RNAcentral
GACGAACGCUGGCGGCGCGCUUAACACAUGCAAGUCGAGCGAUGAAACUUUAACAGAACCCUUCGGGGCGAAGAUAAAGUGGAUUAGCGGCGGACGGGUGAGUAACACGUGAGUAACCUGCCUUAGACAUUGGGAUAGCCUCGGGAAACCGGGAUUAAUACCAAAUAAAAUCAUAAUGACACAUGUCAUAACGAUCAAAACUCCGGUGGUCUAAGAUGGACUCGCGUCCCAUUAGCUAGUUGGUAGAGUAAAAGCCUACCAAGGCGACGAUGGGUAGCCGGCCUGAGAGGGUGAACGGCCACAUUGGAACUGAGAAACGGUCCAAACUCCUACGGGAGGCAGCGGUGGGGAAUAUUGCACAAUGAAGGGAACUCUGAUGCAGCGACGCCGCGUGAACGAAGAAGGCUUUCGAGUCGUAAAGUUCUUUUAUAUGGGAAGAUAAUGACGGUACCAUAAGAAAAAGCCCCGGCUAACUACGUG